RNAcentral lists this ribosomal RNA (122 nucleotides) under Epiglia sp. RNAcentral describes it as "partial large subunit ribosomal RNA". It matches the Rfam family "Eukaryotic large subunit ribosomal RNA", at positions 99 to 224 of the family's 3401-position model. Lineage: Eukaryota; Fungi; Ascomycota; Leotiomycetes; Leotiales; Mniaeciaceae. The record is from RNAcentral.
CGGCAAUAGCUCAAAUUUGAAAUCUGGCCUUCUGGCCCGAAUUGUAAUUUGUAGAGGAUGCUUCGAACGUGGUCUGGUCUAAGUUCCUUGGAACAGGACGUCAUAGAGGGUGAGAAUCCCGU